This 120-nucleotide small nuclear RNA is filed under the name Rhodnius prolixus. RNAcentral describes it as "U5 spliceosomal RNA". It matches the Rfam family "U5 spliceosomal RNA". From Rfam's summary of the family: U5 RNA is a component of both types of known spliceosome. The record is from Rfam by way of RNAcentral. Lineage: Eukaryota; Metazoa; Arthropoda; Insecta; Hemiptera; Reduviidae.
CGCCUCUGGUCUCUCUUCAAAAUUCAUAAAUCUUUCGCCUUUUACUAAAGAUUUCCCUGGAGAGGGACUACUUGAUGAGCCUAGCCCGAUGUAUAUUUGGUACAUUCCACGAAAAUAUGA